RNAcentral lists this ribosomal RNA (491 nucleotides) under uncultured bacterium. RNAcentral describes it as "partial 16S ribosomal RNA". It matches the Rfam family "Bacterial small subunit ribosomal RNA", at positions 29 to 506 of the family's 1533-position model. The record is from RNAcentral.
AGUGAACGCUGGCGGUAGGCCUAACACAUGCAAGUCGAACGGCAGCACAGUAAGAGCUUGCUCUUACGGGUGGCGAGUGGCGGACGGGUGAGGAAUACAUCGGAAUCUACUUUUUCGUGGGGGAUAACGUAGGGAAACUUACGCUAAUACCGCAUACGACCUACGGGUGAAAGCAGGGGAUCUUCGGACCUUGCGCGAUUGAAUGAGCCGAUGUCGGAUUAGCUAGUUGGCGGGGUAAAGGCCCACCGAGGCGACGAUCCGUAGCUGGUCUGAGAGGAUGAUCAGCCAAACUGGAACUGAGACACGGUCCAGCCCCCUACGGGAGGCAGCAGUGGGGAAUAUUCGCCAAUGGGCGAAAGCCUGAUCCAGCCAUACCGCGGGGGUGAAGAAGGCCUUCGGGUUGUAAAGCCCUUUUGUUGGGAAAGAAAAGCAGCAGGUUAAUACCCCGCUGUUCUGACGGUACCCAAAGAAUAAGCACCGGCUAACUUCGU